UGGGGAAUUUUGGACAAUGGGCGAAAGCCUGAUCCAGCAAUGCCGCGUGUGUGAAGAAGGCCUUCGGGUUGUAAAGCACUUUUGUCCGGAAAGAAAUCCUUGGCUCUAAUACAGUCGGGGGAUGACGGUACCGGAAGAAUAAGCACCGGCUAACUACGUGCCAGCAGCCGCGGUAAUACGUAGGGUGCAAGCGUUAAUCGGAAUUACUGGGCGUAAAGCGUGCGCAGGCGGUUUACUAAGACCGAUGUGAAAUCCCCGGGCUCAACCUGGGAACUGCAUUGGUGACUGGCAGGCUAGAGUAUGGCAGAGGGGGGUAGAAUUCCACGUGUAGCAGUGAAAUGCGUAGAGAUGUGGAGGAAUACCGAUGGCGAAGGCAGCCCCCUGGGCCAAUACUGACGCUCAUGCACGAAAGCGUGGGGGAGCAAACAGGAUUAGAUACCCUGGUAGUCCACGCCCUAAACGAUGUCAACUAGUUGUUGGGGAUUCAUUUCCUUAGUAACGUAGCUAACGCGUGAAGUUGACCGCCUGGGGAGUACGGUCGCAAGAUUAAAACUCAAAGGAAUUGACGGGGU
This 572-nucleotide ribosomal RNA is filed under the name uncultured bacterium. RNAcentral describes it as "partial 16S ribosomal RNA". It matches the Rfam family "Bacterial small subunit ribosomal RNA", at positions 355 to 919 of the family's 1533-position model. The record is from RNAcentral.